GACGAACGCUGGCGGCGUGCCUAACACAUGCAAGUCGAGCGGGUACCCGCAAGGGUACCAGCGGCGCACGGGUGAGUAACACGUGGGUAAUCUACCCCUCGGAGGGGGAUAACCGGGGGAAACUCCGGCUAAUACCCCAUACGAUCCAACAACACAAGUUGUUGGAUGAAAGGAGCGUUUGCUCCGCCGAGGGAUGAGCCCGCGGCCCAUCAGGUAGUUGGUGGGGUAAUGGCCCACCAAGCCUACGACGGGUAGCCGGCCUGAGAGGGUGGUCGGCCACAAGGGCACUGAGACACGGGCCCUACUCCUACGGGAGGCAGCAGUGGGGAAUCUUGGACAAUGGGCGAAAGCCUGAUCCAGCGACGCCGCGUGGGGGAUGUAGCCCUUCGGGGUGUAAACCCCUGUUGCGAGGGAGGAAUAAGGCCUGGAGGAAAUGCCAGGCCGAUGACUGUACCUCGCGAGGAAGCCCCGGCUAACUACGUGCCAGCAGCCGCGGUAAUACGUAGGGGGCGAGCGUUACCCGGAUUCACUGGGCGUAAAGCGGGUGUAGGCGGCUCGGUAAGUCGGGUGUGAAAUCCCACAGCUCAACUGUGGAAUUGCGCCCGAAACUGCUGAGCUUGGGGCCGGUAGAGGGAGACGGAACUGCCGGUGUAGGGGUGAAAUCCGUAGAUAUCGGCAGGAACGCCGGUGGGGAAGCCGGUCUCCUGGGCCGCGCCCGACGCUGAGACCCGAAAGCUAGGGGAGCAAACC
This 750-nucleotide ribosomal RNA is filed under the name uncultured Thermotoga sp. RNAcentral describes it as "bacterial SSU rRNA". It matches the Rfam family "Bacterial small subunit ribosomal RNA", at positions 28 to 774 of the family's 1533-position model. Lineage: Bacteria; Thermotogati; Thermotogota; Thermotogae; Thermotogales; Thermotogaceae. The record is from RNAcentral.